CAGCCUGAUGCAGCANUGCCGCGUGAGUGAUGAAGGCCUUCGGGUUGUAAAGCUCUUUCUUUGGGGACGAUAAUGACGGUACCCGAGGAAGAAGCCCCGGCUAACUACGUGCCAGCAGCCGCGGUAAUACGUAGGUGGCAAGCGUUGUUCGGAUUUACUGGGCGUAAAGGAUGCGUAGGCGGAUAUGCAAGUCAGAUGUGAAAUCCCCGGGCUUAACUCGGAUGCUGCAUUUGAAACUAUAUAUGCUGGAGUGCAGGAAAAGUAAGUGGAAUUUCCCGGUGUAGCGGUGAAAUGCGUAGAUAUUAGGAAGAACACCAUGUGGGCGAAGGCGACUUACUGGACUGUAACUGACACUUGAGGCAUGAAAAGCGUGGGGAGCAAACAGGAUUAGAUACCUUGGUAGUCAA
RNAcentral lists this ribosomal RNA (407 nucleotides) under uncultured Clostridium sp. RNAcentral describes it as "bacterial SSU rRNA". It matches the Rfam family "Bacterial small subunit ribosomal RNA", at positions 379 to 797 of the family's 1533-position model. Lineage: Bacteria; Bacillati; Bacillota; Clostridia; Eubacteriales; Clostridiaceae. The record is from RNAcentral.